UGUCCUCUCCACAGUCACUGAGCACACAGGUCCUCACCAUGGGAUGGAGCUGGAUCAUUCUCUUCCUCCUGUCAGUAACUACAGGUGUUCACUCCCAUGUCCAGUUGCAGCAGUCUGGUCCUGAGCUGAGGAAACCUGGGGACACAGUGAAGUUGUCCUGCAAAACUUCUGGCUACACCUUCACUAAUUAUGAAAUGCACUGGGUGAGUCAGAGGCCUGGACAGGGCCUAGAGUGGAUUGGAUACAUUUAUCCUUGGACUGGUAAUACUAACUAUGCUCAGAAUUUCCAGUGCAAGGCAAAACUGACUGAAGACAAAUCCUCCAGCACAGCCUACAUGGAGCUCAGGAGCCUGACAUCUGAGGACUCUGCGGUCUAUUACUCUGCAUGA
This is a non-coding RNA of Peromyscus leucopus (white-footed mouse), 389 nucleotides long. The record is from the annotation of a RefSeq genome assembly. Lineage: Eukaryota; Metazoa; Chordata; Mammalia; Rodentia; Cricetidae.